This 517-nucleotide ribosomal RNA is filed under the name Australosepsis niveipennis. RNAcentral's name for it is "partial 16S ribosomal RNA". It matches the Rfam family "Bacterial large subunit ribosomal RNA", at positions 1811 to 2597 of the family's 2925-position model. The record is from RNAcentral. Lineage: Eukaryota; Metazoa; Arthropoda; Insecta; Diptera; Sepsidae.
AAACAUGUCUUUUUGUGAUAAUUUUAAAGUCUAGCCUGCCCACUGAAUAAUUUUAAAUGGCCGCAGUAUCCUAACUGUGCAAAGGUAGCAUAAUCAUUAGUCUUUUAAUUGAAGGCUGGUAUGAAUGGCUGGACGAGGUAUUAACUGUUUCAAAUGAAUUUUUUAUAGAAUUUUAUUUUUUAGUCAAAAAGCUAAAAUUUAAUUAAAAGACGAGAAGACCCUAUAAAUCUUUACUUUUUAGUUAUUUUAAUUAUAAAGAUAUAUUUUAUUAUAAUAAUGAAAAAAGUUUUAUUGGGGUGAUAUUAAAAUUUAAUGAACUUUUAAUUUUAUUAAAACAUUAAUUAAUGAAUAAUUGAUCCAUUAUUAGUGAUUAAAAAAUUAAGUUACUUUAGGGAUAACAGCGUAAUUUUUUUGGAGAGUUCUUAUCGAUAAAAAAGAUUGCGACCUCGAUGUUGGAUUAAGAAAAAAUUUAGGUGUAGUCGCUUAAAUAUUAAGUCUGUUCGACUUUUAAUUUCUU